This 214-nucleotide unclassified non-coding RNA is filed under the name Hevea brasiliensis (rubber tree). The record is from RNAcentral. Lineage: Eukaryota; Viridiplantae; Streptophyta; Magnoliopsida; Malpighiales; Euphorbiaceae.
GAGAGAGAGAGAGAGAGAGAUUUUUCCUUGGACAAUUUUCGCCUUGGACAAUCAAAAUAGUCUUUUUUGCAAAAUGGUCAUUUGACAUUUUCCACCAUUAACCUUCUUAGAGCAUUUGCUUAUGCGAUUAUCAAGUUCCUUAUGAUAUGACUAUUUCUGAUUCUAUUUUGGUUCUUUCCUGUUGAAUGUCAGCUCAUAGCUGGUUCUGAUAAUG